RNAcentral lists this long non-coding RNA (431 nucleotides) under Theobroma cacao (cacao). RNAcentral describes it as "long non-coding RNA (TCAC_LNC002777)". The record is from RNAcentral. Lineage: Eukaryota; Viridiplantae; Streptophyta; Magnoliopsida; Malvales; Malvaceae.
AUGACAGAACUCACUCACACAACUCUGGUGAAGUUGUACAUGUUUGUCCUAGCAGGAUUGAAUGAUGCAGAAAGUGAUUUCAUCCAACAAAAUACUUUUGUUUUAGUCAGAAUUAGACGCUUCAUGCCUGGGAUAGCUAAGGAGGAGGUGGUCCUGGGGGGCCACCAGGAGGGCCUCCGGGGGGUCCUGGAGGGCCACCAGGUGGUCCUGGCGGGCCACUAAAAGGUCCAGGUGGUCCCGGCUGGCCACCAAAAGGUCCAGGCGGACCACCAGGAGGUCCAGCAUAAGGUGGAGCUGGGCCUGGUAGAGAUGGAGGUGGAGCAGGCGCAACGGGUGGUGGAGGAGCCGGAGCAGGAGGUCCAGGAGGUGCAUCACCUGGGCCGCCAGGAGGCCCUGGUGGAGGUGGACCGCCGAAGCAGUCUUGGAUCAAC